CAGUAGGGAGGAAGGUAGUGUAGUUAACACCUGCAUUAUUUGACGUUACCUACAGAAGAAGCACCGGCUAACUCCGUGCCAGCAGCCGCGGUAAUACGGAGGGUGCGAGCGUUAAUCGGAAUUACUGGGCGUAAAGCGCAUGCAGGCGGCCUGUUAAGUCAGAUGUGAAAGACCCGGGGCUUAACCUCGGAAUUGCAUUUGAAACUGGCAGGCUAGAGUCUUGUAGAGGGGGGUAGGAAUUUCAGGUGUAGCGGUGAAAUGCGUAGAGAUCUGAAGGAAUACCAGUGGCGAAGGCGGCCCCCUGGACAAAGACUGACGCUCAGAUGCGAAAGCGUGGGGAGCAAACAGGAUUAGAUACCCUGGUAG
Molecule: ribosomal RNA, 366 nt
Filed under: uncultured bacterium
Lineage: Bacteria
Description: bacterial SSU rRNA
Rfam family: Bacterial small subunit ribosomal RNA
Source: RNAcentral